AUGGGUCCCUGACACUUGGCGAAGUAGGAGCCCUGUGUGAUCGUGCGUCUGAGUCUGGGCUGAGACCAGUCCUGGCCAGGGCAGUUACCAGGACGGUCUCCGGAGGCCGGGAUUCGCGGAGGGUCCACCAGCAGGAAGAAACCCCAAGAGGAAGAAACCUCAGACAGAUCGCCGGCGAGGCAGCGCGGGAUCCCAGCCUCAGGCGUGCGCGGACGGUGUGCGGCGCACACAACCAAGCUUAGGAGCCGACUGUUAAGAUGCCCCAGUGACACGGACAAGUUUCUCCUCUGCAACCCAAUGAGAGCUGCUGACCACGAGAGCAUCGCGGGACCGCCAAAGGAUUCUGGAAAAUGUGGUCCCGGGUGGCCAGUGUGCGCUGACCUUCACCUGAAGGUACGGCUUGAAGGAAACUUCUGGAGGGUGGGGUGGUGUUGAAGAGAAGGCACAAUUGUCACCAUUUUGUUCAACAUGGGCGUUUUCUUUGUGCAUUGAUUUGCAUUUUUAAAGGGAGUCAAUAAAUACAGGAAACAGCCCCUUGGGAGGGAGAUAAGG
This 552-nucleotide long non-coding RNA is filed under the name Homo sapiens (human). RNAcentral's name for it is "HSALNT0397784". Lineage: Eukaryota; Metazoa; Chordata; Mammalia; Primates; Hominidae. The record is from RNAcentral.